UUAAAUUGAAGAGUUUGAUCAUGGCUCAGAUUGAACGCUGGCGGCAGGCCUAACACAUGCAAGUCGAACGGUAACAGGAAGCAGCUUGCUGCUUUGCUGACGAGUGGCGGACGGGUGAGUAAUGUCUGGGAAACUGCCCGAUGGAGGGGGAU
This 152-nucleotide ribosomal RNA is filed under the name Salmonella enterica subsp. enterica serovar Schwarzengrund. Its description in RNAcentral is "partial 16S ribosomal RNA". It matches the Rfam family "Bacterial small subunit ribosomal RNA", at positions 1 to 144 of the family's 1533-position model. Lineage: Bacteria; Pseudomonadati; Pseudomonadota; Gammaproteobacteria; Enterobacterales; Enterobacteriaceae. The record is from RNAcentral.